GGAGAAUCUUCUGAACUGGGAUGAGAGUUGACUGAGCCCAAAAGGAUGAGAGGCUCAAGCCCAGAGAGAGAACUAGCUGCAAAACCCAGAAGAUGGCUCCUGUUGUAUGUACCCAUUCGGUACUGGACUCUGGUUCCCACCGCCACCACUUCCUCUGCGAGUCAGACCACACAUGUCUACAACAACUCAUAGUUCAGUGACCUCUAUGCGAAGAGUAGCCUCCCAGUUACAGCACCCCAAAGCCACUAUCCUCUCCUCCAAAAGACUCAUUUCUCCUAUGAUGCCAAUGAGAUGACAAGUAAAUAUUUAAUAACAGCAGUUUCAAAAUCCUAGUUAUUCCCUCCUCUGGGCUUUCCAAGGCAGCCUGUCUACUCUUUGACUUUUCAAAUGUAAGCUUUCCAGGGUAGGGACUCAUCAUUUUGUACCUUGUGUAAGGCUGACACUUACAUGGUUAAUCUGGCCUAAAUCAUCAAGUGAACCAAGCAAACUUUCAGCUGGGACAGGGACUUUAAUUCAACAUCAAAACACACUCCAAAGAAACAUCAAAGGCUGCUAUGCAGGAAUGUCCAAACACAGCACAAGGAAAUAUUAAAGGCAGUGAUGUGGACCUGUCAUUUUCACCCCUUAAAGAUUUUUCCUGCCUAUGCACGGACAAUGGAUGUAUCAGUCUUUUGGGUAGUGGUCUAACAAACUCCUCCCAGUAUAGCAUAGCUCAUCCUUUC
Molecule: long non-coding RNA, 722 nt
Organism: Mauremys reevesii (Reeves's turtle)
Lineage: Eukaryota; Metazoa; Chordata; Testudines; Geoemydidae
Exons: 3
Source: RefSeq, a predicted model, not a curated record